UUUAAUUUUGCAUUUAAAGUAUUAAAUUCACUAGUUGUAAGAUUUUAAACGCGUUAUUCGGUUUUAGAAGAGCAAAAUUAAGCGGAGAAGGAAAUUUUCCUUUCCAACCGAUGCUUAAUUGUAUACUGAUCAAUUUCGCCCCAAAGUGGCAUUUCAAUUUGGAUUCCAGCUUUCCACGCUCGCCAUAAUGGCGGAUGCUAUAAAAUAAUUUGACAAUAUCUGUGCCCCAGUUAACGCAACGACUUAUUUUAUCCAUGGCAACCAUUGAAAAACAUUAUUUUUCUCUUGUCAACGGAAAACGAAUCAGGCAAAAGUUUGGCCUGAAAACUGAACCAAUGAACAUAUUCAGCUUCUAACCAUUUCUGGUUCGGCUCUCUUGGCUCUCGAGGAUGGCACCGGAACCCAGAGGAGCAACCGGUCAAACCCCCAUGCUGCUGGUCUGACAAACGGCAUCCGGCGGAGUGAAAGGUGUGUGCGGAGUGGCGAUUUCAACAACAUUGGUAUUGCUUCGGCGAGGAGGGCUGUUUACUGGGCUGACGACGGAUACCGACCUGAGGGUGGGCGGGCGUUGUUAGUAACGAGAAGGACUAGGAAUAGAUGCUGACGGUGAAGGCUAUCGCAAGCACAGACCGAUGAUGGUUCUCGAAGUUGAUUGGCGAUGCCGACGAAGAUCGCAACCAGUCAAGGAGAUCGCCGCUGGAGACCAAAACGUAGGCCAGUGAGGGCGGCUGCCGAAGGGGGUCGGCUAGAGCGGCUGGCGGUGAAAAGCCAAUAACAGCGGUUGCCGUAGACUUGAUCAGGAGGGCAAGGAGUUCUAUCCCGAUCAACUGUUCGUGGCCCAAUGUGAUAUCACAUUGUUCGUGACCAGCCAAGAAGAACGGCGCCAGACCCAAAACUGGUCAACGAGGGCAACCGCUGAAGGAGGGCCAUGAUGGGAACCUGUUACAUCCUAGAGUUCGAAGUGGCCGAGACACAUGGCAGUGUAAUGAUAACUCCAAAUGUAAACGAAACGAAUUGAAAAGUAACUUUAUUAACAUAAAAAAUUACAUGACUAUGGCACGCGACACGUAUACGGAAUGACGACUACAAUACUUUUAAAUCUAAUGUCUGCCUUUGUGCAUCAACCGAUCGCAUAUUAAAAUGUUAUCGGUAAGCAACCUGAGUGACGAAAGACGCAAGAUUGUUCAGUGGUUCUCAACAAAAGCCAAUUAAACAGAGGUUGCCAUAGAACGUCCGUGGCCAUGCGGCGGCACAACUGUGGAGAUAUGGGCGGAAGACUAUCCGUCCGCCAGUACCGGGGUUGCUCUUCGGGAACCUCUGGUGAGUCGAAGUCGCAGAUUUAGUUAGAUGGGGAACUCCACUUGCACGUUAUGGGCAUUCGUUUACUGCGUCUCGGUACUUGGCAAACACCACACACACACACACACACACACACACACACACACACACACACACACACACACACACACACACACAUACACACACACACACACACACACACACACACACACACACACACACACACACACACACACACACACACACACACACACACACACACACACACACACACACACACACACACAUACA
Molecule: long non-coding RNA, 1590 nt
Organism: Aedes albopictus (Asian tiger mosquito)
Lineage: Eukaryota; Metazoa; Arthropoda; Insecta; Diptera; Culicidae
Exons: 2
Source: RefSeq, a predicted model, not a curated record